UUAGAGUGGGUGCCUCUCUUCCGAGUUUGAAAUAUGGUCAGUAAGAACAUUAACAAGUGCCUGGAAGCAGGAAGAAGAUGGCCAAGCAACGAAUCACGCAGAGCAGUGAGUCUUGCUUCGAUUAAGAAAAUUCAGUGUCUGGCAUCUACAUGGUAAAAUCACAGCGCCACGACAGGGGGUGCCAACUCCUGUGGUCCCCCGACACCACAGAAUACCAUGAGUGGAACUUUAUCCACAAACAUAUAUUUCCCUCCCAGUGUUAGGAUGUUUCAUCUCCCUCAGGCCUCCCUUUUAGAAUUUCCUAGAUUCCUGAAGUCCUCCUAAGUCUGCAAUAUUAUCACUACAUAUAUAUCAAAUUAAAAUAAAGAUCUGU
This 373-nucleotide long non-coding RNA is filed under the name Homo sapiens (human). RNAcentral's name for it is "HSALNT0115610". The record is from RNAcentral. Lineage: Eukaryota; Metazoa; Chordata; Mammalia; Primates; Hominidae.